AGCGAACGCUGGCGGCAGGCCUAAUACAUGCAAGUCGAACGGCUCUUCGGAGCAGUGGCGGACGGGUGAGUAACGCGUGGGAAUGUGCCCUUAGGUACGGAACAACACAGGGAAACUUGUGCUAAUACCGUAUGUGCCCUUCGGGGGAAAGAUUUAUCGCCUUUGGAGCAGCCCGCGUUGGAUUAGCUAGUUGGUGAGGUAAAGGCUCACCAAGGCGACGAUCCAUAGCUGGUCUGAGAGGAUGACCAGCCACACUGGGACUGAGACACGGCCCAGACUCCUACGGGAGGCAGCAGUAGGGAAUCUUGCGCAAUGGGCGAAAGCCUGACGCAGCCAUGCCGCGUGUAUGAUGAAGGUCUUAGGAUUGUAAAAUACUUUCACCGGGGAAGAUAAUGACGGUACCCGGAGAAGAAGCCCCGGCUAACUUCGUGCCAGCCGCCGCGGUAA
Molecule: ribosomal RNA, 447 nt
Filed under: uncultured bacterium
Lineage: Bacteria
Description: partial 16S ribosomal RNA
Rfam family: Bacterial small subunit ribosomal RNA
Source: RNAcentral